AGGAAGUAAAAGUCGUAACAAGGUUUCCGUAGGUGAACCUGCGGAAGGAUCAUUAAUGAGUUUUGAUUGGGGGUUGAUGCUGGCAGCCAAUUCUUUUGUCUGCAUGUGCUUGCCCCUAAUAAUCUUUAUCCAAACACCUGUGCAUGAUUUCGAGGGUUUCCGAGUUGAUUGUCUUCUCGGAUCCCCUUGGAUUUCCCACUUUUAUACACCGCUUGCAAUGUCGAAUGUGCUUCGUGCCGCAAGGCCAUUAACGAAAUAUACAACUUUUAACAACGGAUCUCUUGGCUCUCGCAUCGAUGAAGAACGCAGCGAAAUGCGAUAAGUAAUGUGAAUUGCAGAAUUCAGUGAAUCAUCGAAUCUUUGAACGCACCUUGCGCUCCCUGGUAUUCCGGGGAGCACGCCUGUUCGAGUGUCGUGAAAUUUCUCAAGCUGAGAUGUUUUUCUUAGUCUUGGUGUUGGGCCCUGCCGUGUCUCUUAUUGGGAUGGCUGGCCUUAAAAGUAUUAGCUGACCCUUAUGUGGGCAAUUGGUUCUACUCAGCGUGAUUAAUGAUUUUGACCGUUGAGGACAUCUUUGGGGAUGGCCAGUUCUCAUUUGGGUUGCUUCUAAUCUUGGUUGUACGGAUUGUUAAUCUGUGCACCUCGUUUUUCAGUUUUGACCUCGAAUCAGGUGGGACUACCCGCUGAACUUAAGCAUAUCAAU
Molecule: ribosomal RNA, 700 nt
Filed under: Clavulina sp. G2057
Lineage: Eukaryota; Fungi; Basidiomycota; Agaricomycetes; Cantharellales; Hydnaceae
Description: eukaryotic LSU rRNA
Rfam family: 5.8S ribosomal RNA (bases 262-415)
Source: RNAcentral